Molecule: unclassified non-coding RNA, 358 nt
Filed under: Hevea brasiliensis (rubber tree)
Lineage: Eukaryota; Viridiplantae; Streptophyta; Magnoliopsida; Malpighiales; Euphorbiaceae
Source: RNAcentral
GUACGUCUCGCAUUUGAUUGGAGGAUACCUCGGUGGGUUGACUUUUGAUUGGCAGGUUGGCAAGCAUUCAACAAGACAGUCGUGACUUGGCUCCAUAAAAUAUGCAAUAGAAAAUCUUUCUUGACCAUUUGCAAGGACCCGAUGCAGUGUUGAUCUGAAAACACCAUUGCUCCAGCGCUCAAGCAUAUCACCAAGAUUCACUACAAAAGCACCUUUCAAUGGUGGCACAUACUCCCAAAUCUGAGGCUUUGCAUCCUUAUCCUUGCAUAUCUGAAGGCCAGAGACAUCAUCUGUGGCCAAAAGAGUUAUCAGACCAUAGUCAGAAUGUGCACCAGCUCCAAAAAUUCCAUUUGAUGGA